ACACAUGCAGUCGAGCGGCAGCACGGGUACUUGUACCUGGUGGCGAGCGGCGGACGGGUGAGUAACGCCUAGGAAUCUGCCUAGUAGUGGGGGAUAACGUCCGGAAACGGGCGCUAAUACCGCAUACGUCCUACGGGAGAAAGUGGGGGAUCUUCGGACCUCACGCUAUUAGAUGAGCCUAGGUCGGAUUAGCUAGUUGGUGAGGUAAUGGCUCACCAAGGCGACGAUCCGUAACUGGUCUGAGAGGAUGAUCAGUCACACUGGAACUGAGACACGGUCCAGACUCCUACGAGAGGCAGCAGUGGGGAAUAUUGGACAAUGGGCGAAAGCCUGAUCCAGCCGUGCCGCGUGUGUGAAGAAGGUCUUCGGAUUGUAAAGCACUUUAAGUUGGGAGGAAGGGCAGUUACCUAAUACGUGAUUGUUUUGACGUUACCGACAGAAUAAGCACCGGCUAACUCUGUGCCAGCAGCCGCGGUAAUACAGAGGGUGCAAGCGUUAAUCGGAAUUACUGGGCGUAAAGCGCGCGUAGGUGGUUUGUUAAGUUGGAUGUGAAAGCCCCGGGCUCAACCUGGGAACUGCAUCCAAAACUGGCAAGCUAGAGUAUGGUAGAGGGUGGUGGAAUUUCCUGUGUAGCGGUGAAAUGCGUAGAUAUAGGAAAGGAACACCAGUGGCGAACGCGACCACCUGGACUGAUACUGACACUGAGUGCGAAAGCGUGGGGAGCAAACAGGAUUAGAUACCCUGGUAGUCACGCGUAACGAUGUCACUAGCCGUUGGGAGCU
This 782-nucleotide ribosomal RNA is filed under the name uncultured bacterium. RNAcentral's name for it is "bacterial SSU rRNA". It matches the Rfam family "Bacterial small subunit ribosomal RNA", at positions 51 to 831 of the family's 1533-position model. The record is from RNAcentral.